CAGUAGCCACGGGAAAACGUAGGUGGCAAGCGUUGUCCGGAAUUAUUGGGCGUAAAGCGCGCGCAGGCGGAUAGGUCAGUCUGUCUUAAAAGUUCGGGGCUUAACCCCGUGAUGGGAUGGAAACUGCCAAUCUAGAGUAUCGGAGAGGAAAGUGGAAUUCCUAGUGUAGCGGUGAAAUGCGUAGAUAUUAGGAAGAACACCAGUGGCGAAGGCGACUUUCUGGACGAAAACUGACGCUGAGGCGCGAAAGCCAGGGGAGCGAACGGGAUUAGAUACCCCUGUAGUCCCUGUCUCUUAUACA
This 301-nucleotide ribosomal RNA is filed under the name uncultured bacterium. RNAcentral's name for it is "partial 16S ribosomal RNA". It matches the Rfam family "Bacterial small subunit ribosomal RNA", at positions 509 to 809 of the family's 1533-position model. The record is from RNAcentral.